GGUCAUUCAGUUGUCAGGUGUGUCUGAUUUCAUUAUCACAUGUACAACUGUAACAUAAAAAUGUGUAACAAAGCCAAAAUUAUACAUAUAGAUCAAAUUACUAUUCUUCUUAAUCUCUAACAUGUAAUUUAAGAGAAUCUGUCUGUUUUAAAGGUUGGCACAGAAAAGGAAAUAUGAAGAUCAAAUCGUAAGAAUCACAUUUUGAUAGUUGUUGACAAUGUUGUGACCUGCAUGCUAAGGAUUAUUUAUUAUAGAAUUUGAUUAAUUUUGGAUCCAAACCUCCCACUUCAUAUGCAUACUUUUUACUGACUUUUAAAUAUUUAAAUAUUUAUUUGCACCCUGUGAUGAUUAAAUAAUUGUUGUCUGUGUACAGAUAAUAGCAGAUAAGGAUAAGGAGGAGGCAAAGAGGCCCAGGACAAUCCCUCCUCAACAGUCGUUUAGUGUGAAUGAAGAACCUGUUGACCUGACCAAGGAGGGGAUUCUGGAGAUUCCAAGAUGUUGUCUGGAAGACAUAUUGCUUGAGAUGGUCCUCCAGGAUGGUGAUAAGACACUGAUGACCUUGGUCCUAGUCUGUUCCUCGUUCAGAGACAUAGUCAAAGAUGAAAACUUCCAGGAAAGAGCUCACUUUCUGUGGCUUAACUAUGUGACUAAUUGGAGCAGGUUCUCCUUCAAAUACAAAAAAGAAUUCCGGACAAUGUAGUCGGUGCUGAACUGCUCCCAGUGCUAUUGUGCAUACAAGAGCUGCAUGCCGGGUUACGUUGGAAGAGGAAGGCGGGGUGAGCUGUGGGGGGUAUAUUCUGAGGAUCCCCACCCUGGAUUCUGCAGCCAUUUCUGCCAACUAACAGCAGGAUUUCCUGAGGAGGGAUAACAAGGAUCUGCAUACACAACAAUACACA
This 896-nucleotide long non-coding RNA is filed under the name Sander lucioperca (pikeperch). RNAcentral's name for it is "lncRNA (ENSSLUG00000005803.1)". Lineage: Eukaryota; Metazoa; Chordata; Actinopteri; Perciformes; Percidae. The record is from RNAcentral.